Molecule: non-coding RNA, 229 nt
Organism: Mus caroli (Ryukyu mouse)
Lineage: Eukaryota; Metazoa; Chordata; Mammalia; Rodentia; Muridae
Source: RefSeq, a predicted model, not a curated record
ACAACAAUCAAACCAUCUGGUUUCUAUUUCUCCAGUACGAAGAGGAUUUUAAACACAGACUUUUAAAUAGAAUAUGCCUAACAGAUCCAACAAGGCCUGCUCCCCGAAGUGGCCCAGAGAUGUCAGCAGUGAGAGAUCACAUGAUUGAUUAUGCAUACCGUGAUGGAACUACUUCAGAUGAACCUGAUAAGAGCUGGAACUUCACAGAAAGAUUCUCCCGGAGAGACUU